Molecule: long non-coding RNA, 2357 nt
Filed under: Homo sapiens (human)
Lineage: Eukaryota; Metazoa; Chordata; Mammalia; Primates; Hominidae
Description: long independently transcribed non-coding RNA 3082, transcript variant 4 (LINC03082)
Source: RNAcentral
GUUCUUUGGCUCUUGUGUGAGUGGAUGGUGACACCAGGCCAGCUGGGGAUUCUUCCCAGGCUGGGCUCACAGGCUGGGGCUGGGCACACGGAGCAGCUGCGGGAAAAGGAUCUGGACACCAGCCCCCCAGCGUGUCACCGGCAGGAAGGUGAGGUGGGAACAGAGUGACGUCCAUGCAUGUUCAGGACUAAGCCAGUGGAUCACAAACAUCCUGGAGAGCAGUGACUCUGUGAUUCCAUCACAAGAAUAUGAAGGACUGAGAAGAUCUCCAGCUCUGCCCAUUGCACCUUCCCAUUGAGAAGCAGCAUGGCACCCUGGUGGCAGGGGCUGAUACUCAGCCGGGCCAGGGUGCUCUCCUGUUAACCAUAACCAAGCUCACAGGACAUGGGAUGAGCCCACUGUGUGACACAGGGAGCGGGACACAGUCUGUUAAGUCUUGCACAGCCAUGCUCUGCCACGCAGGCAGGCCUUUCCUUGGCCUCCCUCUCCCUGUUCGUGCUCAUGUGAACAUCCACCUACGUGGAUAGACUGGGCUUUGGUUCAUUAUUGCUCUGUGAAUUCCUCGAACUUCCGCAUCUGCCCAACCUCCCCCACCCCAUUGUUUUCAUUGUGUUUCACCAAAUGGAAAUUCUAGAGUAAGCAUAUAGAAUCUUCAACUCGGAGGCACCAGUCUCUCUCACUUGAGGAAAGAAUGCGAAGGAAGGAAUGGCCUGACUUCCUCAUGUGUGCCCUGUUUCUCGGUAGGCACCAUGUGGGGGCUGCCACACAUGUGCCGAAGCUUUGGGAACGUUCCGUUUAAAUACCAAUUUCGAUGCCAAUGCCUAACAUGGAGCACAAAUAUCCAGGUACCUCUCUGAUUUCUUCUCUUAUGCUUCAAACUCUUUGAGAACAGAAAUUUUUCUCAUUUGUGUUUGUAUCAUCUGUAGUAUUUAGCAAUGCCUUGCCUAUAGUAGGUAGGUGCUUAAUGACUAUUGUAUUCCAUUAGGGCCUAUUCAGUGAUGGUUUAAGUUUAGAAAAGAGUUUCCCUUGCAUUCAGUUUGCCAGUUUUUGAUCAGCAUCAUUAAAGGAGAACUAGCUUUACCUCUUUAAUAAUUUGUUUAAUUCUAAAUCAGUAAAAUUUUUGUGGUAUGCUGACGACAUGGCCUAAGCUAUUGCAGGAGGUUGAGAUAUUCAAGGUGAUAGAAAAAUAUCUAAGACCAAAUUCCUGUCCUGAAGAAGCUCACAUAGUUGUGGGAGCCAUAGAUAAGAAAGAAGCAUUUACGAAGCACAUCAAAAGUGUCUCAGAAGAGCUGUAUACUUGGCCAUGGGGGCAGCAGGUAAGAAGAGGAGGGAAGGGAAGAGGAGGGGAGGGAAGAGUAAGAGAGGGGAGGGAAAAGGAGGGAAGGGGAGCAGAGGAGAAGACUCCCGUAAAUCACAAUAUCCAAAUUUGGCAACUAUUUUGUUCUGAUUUUAUUGGUUCUUCACCCAAAACAUAUUGCCUAAGACACCCCUUGAUUCAACCUUCCUCCCUCUUAAUUUCCAGAAAUAUGAAGUUGUCAGUAAGGUCAGCCAAAAAUCACGUUUGACAUGUGGUGGAAAUUCUGGGUGUCCUUUGUAGAUGAAACUCAUAUAAGCAAAAAUUCUAGUGGCAUUUUGGUGGGAGAAGGAAGAAAGGGAAGAGUGAGGUUAAGGAAAUAUUUCCAAACGUAUUAAUUGAACGUGUACAGGUAUAACAACACCUCCAACACUGUCCUCUUCUAGUCUGACUCCUGGGGGGAAAGGGGGAGUGAGACUAGAAAGGGUUGUCAGGGUGGAACACAGGGCUGGAAGUUGGAAGGCAUCCCUGGGUGCUCACCUUUCAGCUCCCGCUCAAGCAUCCCCUCAGCCUGCACACCUCCAGGACUUGCUGCUUUCUGUGCUGUUCUCAACACCAGGGUCCUUUCCUCCAGAAGUGGGACCUCUUAAGUGUGAGAAAAGAACUUGUUCUUUUAAGAUGGUACCUGAAUGACUUUUGAAAUUUAAUUAGAACCUGUAGUUUUUCAAAGCCUCCUGUUAUAGACCGAAUGGUACCCUCCUACAUUCAUAUACCGAAGCCCUGACCCUGGCGUGGCUGCAUUUGGAGAUAGGGUCUCUAAGGAGGUGAUUGAGGUUAAAUGAAACCAUAAGAAUGGAGCUCCAAUCCAGUAGUGCUGGUGUCCUUGCAAAGAAGAGGAAGAGGCAUCAGAGAUGCACAAGCAUGGAGAAAAGGCCAUGUGAGGACACAGCAAGAAGGUGGCUGUCUGCAAACCUGGAAGAGUGUCCUCACUAGAAGCCAUCCAUGCUAGCACCUUGAACUCCAGAACCAUGAGAAAAUAAAUUUCUGUUUUUAAGCCACCCAA